Molecule: ribosomal RNA, 253 nt
Filed under: uncultured bacterium
Lineage: Bacteria
Description: partial 16S ribosomal RNA
Rfam family: Bacterial small subunit ribosomal RNA
Source: RNAcentral
GACGGAGGAUGCAAGUGUUAUCCGGAAUCACUGGGCGUAAAGCGUCUGUAGGUGGUUUAAAAAGUCUACUGUUAAAAAUUGAAGCUUAACUUCAAAGAUGCCGUAGAAACUUUUAAACUUGAGGAUGGUAGGGGUAGAGGGUAAUUUCCAGUGGAGCGGUGAAAUGCGUGAGAUCUUGGAAAGACCACCAAUGGCGAAAGCACUCUGCUGGCCGACACUGACACUGAGAGACGAAAGCUAGGGGAGCGAAUGG